GAGUUUGAUCGUGGCUCAGAUUGAACGCUGGCGGCAGGCCUAACACUUGCAAGUCGAGCGGAUGAAGGGAGCUUGCUCCUGGAUUCAGCGGUGGACGGGUGAGUAAUGCCUAGGAAUCUGCCUGGUAGUGGGGGAUAACGUCCGGAAACGGGCGCUAAUACCGCAUACGUCCUGAGGGAGAAAGUGGGGGAUCUUCGGACCUCACGCUAUCAGAUGAGCCUAGGUCGGAUUAGCUAGUUGGUGGGGUAAAGGCCUACCAAGGCGACGAUCCGUAACUGGUCUGAGAGGAUGAUCAGUCACACUGGAACUGAGACACGGUCCAGACUCCUACGGGAGGCAGCAGUGGGGAAUAUUGGACAAUGGGCGAAAGCCUGAUCCAGCCAUGCCGCGUGUGUGAAGAAGGUCUUCGGAUUGUAAAGCACUUUAAGUUGGGAGGAAGGGCAGUAAGUUAAUACCUUGCUGUUUG
Molecule: ribosomal RNA, 466 nt
Filed under: uncultured microorganism
Description: bacterial SSU rRNA
Rfam family: Bacterial small subunit ribosomal RNA
Source: RNAcentral